Lontra canadensis (Northern American river otter) is the source of this 404-nucleotide long non-coding RNA. RefSeq lists it as uncharacterized. NCBI's taxonomy places the organism in Eukaryota, Metazoa, Chordata, Mammalia, Carnivora, Mustelidae. The transcript has 2 exons. The record is from RefSeq and is a predicted model, not a curated record.
CACCUCGUGUCACACUGCAGCUCUGUCCAGAUGAUUCUAAUAAUAGCCCAGUGGAAUUCUGAGGUUGGAGGAGACUGAGAGAGGUCACUGAGUCUGUCUUCUGCCUGUAGAAGGGAGCUGAGAACCUACUCACUAAGACGGGUGGAGGAAGAGCCUGCCCAGAAGGGCCCAGAGCUAACAGAAGGAGUAGGGAGGAAUCUAACAAGCUAGGGAGGAAGUGGGCCAACCUGUCCAGGGAAGAAGCUGCGAUUACCAGGGCAAUGAGCUACUUUGCAUCACUCAGUGCAGCGCAUGUGUGAGGUGGGCAGGACUGCCCAGGAAUCCAGUGGUGUGCAGGCAGAUUCCAGAUUAGUGUUAAGGUGGACCCUGGUUAACAGAGAAAGCUUCAAAGGAUAUGAAUUUAA